Molecule: long non-coding RNA, 486 nt
Filed under: Mytilus galloprovincialis (Mediterranean mussel)
Lineage: Eukaryota; Metazoa; Mollusca; Bivalvia; Mytilida; Mytilidae
Source: RNAcentral
ACAUUUCAAAGCUGCAUUAUUGGGUCUGUCUCCAAGCAGAGAUGGUUGAAGUAUUGAACAUUAUCAUAUGCAUGUUGUUUUUCUAUUCAUUCCCUAUAUGAAAUCUAAGAGAAAAUCACUUUGAAGUAUGAGGUCAACUUUAUUUUGGGAAUAUAUAUGUAUAAAUGUAAAAAAAGUAUAAACUAACGUUUGGAAAGAAAAAGUAUUUAAAUAAUUUUUCUUACAUUGCUUCUUUCUUCAAAAUUACUUGUAUUCUUUAUGAUGGAACUGUAUUCAGGAAUAAAUUUCAGCCAAUCCAACUAACUAUCACACAAAAACCAGGUUUUAUGUAAAAUGAGUAAAAUAGGUUCAAUGUAACGACAUUAAAACAUUUUUUAAGAAAAGUAUAUGAUAAAUCCUAUCAAAGACUGUCUUGCACUUCAUAAAAUAUCACUGCAAUUGUACUAUUGAUUAUAAAGUUUUUAGAUAUAUUGAAAUGCAUGUUAU